AGUGAACGCUGGCGGUAGGCCUAACACAUGCCAGUCGAACGGCAGCACAGUAAGAGCUUGCUCUUACGGGUGGCGAGUGGCAGACGGGUGAGGAAUACAUCGGAAUCUACUUUUUCGUGGGGGAUAACGUAGGGAAACUUACGCUAAUACCGCAUACGACCUACGGGUGAAAGCAGGGGAUCUUCGGACCUUGCGCGAUUGAAUGGGCCGAUGUCGGAUUAGCUAGUUGGCGGGGUAAAGGCCCACCAAGGCGACGAUCCGUAGCUGGUCUGAGAGGAUGAUCAGCCACACUGGAACUGAGACACGGUCCAGACUCCUACGGGAGGCAGCAGUGGGGAAUAUUGGACAAUGGGCGCAAGCCUGAUCCAGCCAUACCGCGUGGGUGAAGAAGGCCUUCGGGUUGUAAAGCCCUUUUGUUGGGAAAGAAAAGCAGCAGGUUAAUACCCCGCUGUUCUGACGGUACCCAAAGAAUAAGCACCGGCUAACUUCGUG
This 492-nucleotide ribosomal RNA is filed under the name uncultured bacterium. RNAcentral describes it as "partial 16S ribosomal RNA". It matches the Rfam family "Bacterial small subunit ribosomal RNA", at positions 29 to 507 of the family's 1533-position model. The record is from RNAcentral.